Molecule: ribosomal RNA, 208 nt
Filed under: uncultured bacterium
Lineage: Bacteria
Description: partial 16S ribosomal RNA
Rfam family: Bacterial small subunit ribosomal RNA
Source: RNAcentral
CGCGUAGGCGGCGCUGUAAGUCACUUGUGAAAUCUCCGGGCUUAACUCGGAACGGUCAAGUGAUACUGCAGUGCUAGAGUGCGGAAGGGGCAAUCGGAAUUCUUGGUGUAGCGGUGAAAUGCGUAGAUAUCAAGAGGAACACCUGAGGUGAAGACGGGUUGCUGGGCCGACACUGACGCUGACAGCGCGAAAGCCAGGGGAGCAAACG